UACGUAGGGAGCAAGCGUUGUUCGGAUUUACUGGGCGUAAAGGGCGCGUAGGCGGCAAAUCAAGUCAGCUGUGAAAUCUCCGAGCUUAACUCGGAACGGUCAACUGAUACUGCUCGGCUAGAGUGCGGAAGGGGCAACUGGAAUUCUUGGUGUAGCGGUGAAAUGCGUAGAUAUCAAGAGGAACACCUGCGGCGAAGGCGGGUUGCUGGGCCGACACUGACGCUGAGGCGCGAAAGCUAGGGGAGCGAACGGG
Molecule: ribosomal RNA, 253 nt
Filed under: uncultured bacterium
Lineage: Bacteria
Description: partial 16S ribosomal RNA
Rfam family: Bacterial small subunit ribosomal RNA
Source: RNAcentral